This 1390-nucleotide long non-coding RNA is filed under the name Hordeum vulgare. RNAcentral describes it as "long non-coding RNA (HVUL_LNC004709)". The record is from RNAcentral. Lineage: Eukaryota; Viridiplantae; Streptophyta; Magnoliopsida; Poales; Poaceae.
AUGACGCGCCCAGUAUCAUGACACACAGCACGAGGGCAUUCCUGUUACCUUUAGCUGGUUGUACAGCGCCGCCGACGGGGUGUCCAUUCUUCACCCUCCACCUCCAAUUUAUUCUGUAGCUGCAAUUUGUUCAAUAAGAAAUGACUGAAUUUUAUCACUACCAGACACUAGUAGGCAGUAGCUGCAGUUUGUUCUAUAAUAAACUCAAAAAAAUAUUAAAUUUUAUCGCUACUAGGCACUAGCAGUAGCUGUAGUUUUUUCAAUAAGACAACACCAUUAUUAACAAAAGAAAUGAAAACUUGCUUACAACUACAAUUAUUGAGAAUGAAAAGCUUGCUUACAAUCAGAGUUGUUCACAGAAUCAUGAAAGUAGUUGGCACUUAUUUUUAUUGACUAAAGAAUGACGCAAACUCCUACUCCUAAGAACAGUUUCUCUGCUAGGCCUGAGAUCCAGCUGACGCUCAAUAGACAACACCGACGCCAUCAAUCAGGUUGGAUGGAAUUAGAGCCAACUUCCUACGACCUCAGACAAUAACUGGAUCGCGCGCCUUCCGUGGGCACAGAUCCAACUCAAUGAAAAUAAACAAUGACGAAAACUCUAGCUAUCUAGACUAGAAAGCCGACUCCGCUACACAGAUCACGACGAGCAGGAAGAAACACAAAGACGCAACCAAAAAAAAUACAUUUGCCACACGACGGACCGCCAGAGCGGCCGACCGUUCCUCGGUGAAGUAAUCCCGGCGACCCAGAUCGGAAUCGGAUCCCAGGCAACGUGCGUCAACCCCGAACCGUGCCCGUCGCGCCUUCAUCAACUCAUGGGCAUGGGCAUGGACGGCUAAUCAAACAAAUCUCUAAUUCUCUAUUGCUCACCUUGCCCAUUCCCGUCCAUGUAAAAUAUGAUUAGCGAGGAGACACACACGGGGAGGGUUUGGUCCAUACCUUGGGGUCAGGGUUGAAUCGCGGACGGGAAGGACCACCCGCGGCUGUUGUCUACUGUUAGCGAGCCCACGAUUUGGUCGGCUGGCUGGAGUUAGCGCGAGGGAAACUGACACGGGUUUACCUUGGGGGCUAACCCGUCCGUUCCAUACAUCCACUCCGGAUACGCCACCACCAUUGGGAGCCCCAACCGUGCCAGGGAGGCCGCCAAGUAAGAUGUGGUGGUUGUCUUCCCGACGUUUAGGGGGAGAAGAUGGCCGGCAAAGGUGGGGGAGAGGGAGGGUGUAGACCGGCGGUGAGGGGAGAGGGAGGUGGCUGGUGGAUUUGGAUCGGGAAGCCUUGGUGGGAGGCGGCAGCGAGGGGAGAGGAAGGUGGGUGGCGGAUCUGAAUCGGGAAGAGGCCUACGGUUCAUGUGCACGAGACAGAGGGAUGGAUGGAUGGGGAUGGAGAGAUG